RNAcentral lists this ribosomal RNA (460 nucleotides) under uncultured bacterium. RNAcentral describes it as "partial 16S ribosomal RNA". It matches the Rfam family "Bacterial small subunit ribosomal RNA", at positions 338 to 795 of the family's 1533-position model. The record is from RNAcentral.
CCUACGGGUGGCAGCAGUGAGGAAUAUUGGUCAAUGGACGAGAGUCUGAACCAGCCAAGUAGCGUGAAGGAUGACUGCCCUAUGGGUUGUAAACUUCUUUUAUAUGGGAAUAAAAUGUUCCACGUGUGGGAUUUUGUAUGUACCAUAUGAAUAAGGAUCGGCUAACUCCGUGCCAGCAGCCGCGGUAAUACGGAGGAUCCGAGCGUUAUCCGGAUUUAUUGGGUUUAAAGGGAGCAUAGGUGGAUUGUUAAGUCAGUUGUGAAAGUUUGCGGCUCAACCGUAAAAUUGCAGUUGAAACUGGCAGUCUUGAGUACAGUAGAGGUGGGCGGAAUUCGUGGUGUAGCGGUGAAAUGCUUAGAUAUCACGAAGAACUCCGAUUGCGAAGGCAGUUCACUGGACUGCAACUGACACUGAGGCUCGAAAGUGUGGGUAUCAAACAGGAUUAGAUACCCUAGUAGUC